Molecule: unclassified non-coding RNA, 240 nt
Filed under: soil metagenome
Description: partial contains 5.8S ribosomal RNA, internal transcribed spacer 2, and large subunit ribosomal RNA
Source: RNAcentral
AAGACUAUAGACCUGCGGAGUACCUGCGGAAGGAUCAUUAUCGAGUUGCAAAACUCCCUAAACCAUUGUGAACCUACCUACACCGUUCCUUCGGCGGGCGGCGUCAAGCCCUAACCCGUUCCCCUUUGCGGGGGAUGGACCCGCCGGAGGCUCCUAAACUCUUAAUUUUAGUUGGCAUCUCUGAGUAAAUCAAAAUAAGUCAAAACUUUCAGCAACGGAUCUCUAGAUCGGAAGAGCACA